RNAcentral lists this ribosomal RNA (253 nucleotides) under uncultured bacterium. Its description in RNAcentral is "partial 16S ribosomal RNA". It matches the Rfam family "Bacterial small subunit ribosomal RNA", at positions 524 to 776 of the family's 1533-position model. The record is from RNAcentral.
GACGAACCGUGCGAUCGUUGUUCGGAAUCACUGGGCUUAAAGGGCGCGUAGGCGGUUUACCAAGUCGGGGUUGAAAUCUUUCGGCUUAACCGGAAAAGUGGCUUCGAUACUGGUAGACUGGAGGGAGGUAGGGGCAGAUGGAACUUCCGGUGGAGCGGUGAAAUGUGUUGAUAUCGGAAGGAACGCCGGUGGCGAAAGCGCUCUGCUGGACCUCUCCUGACGCUGAGGCGCGAAAGCCAGGGGAGCAAACGGG